AAGUGAGCUGCCCCAUGGAUAACGUGGUGCCUGCCUCGGCGUGCGUGUAGAAGAAGGUCCAGCUAGCAAGCCAGAAUCGAGGGAUUCAAAGAAACGGAAAAGGGAUACUGUACACUGAGGUGGAGGCUUUUUUUGGAGACCGUAUCCAUCGGGGACUGAAAGGAAGAUGUGGACAUAAUUCAGAAGAUACAUUUGGAGCAGCUGUCGUUCUGCUGGUUGACAGAAGGACUAGACAGAAGAAUGAUCAACUUAUGAGCUCAACAGCUAUGGCUGAGAAGUACAAUUAAGGACAACACUUUGUGGCGUUGCGGCAAGCUCUGUUGGAGUAUGAAGAAAGCCUCAGAAGUUCAUGUGAGUCUGUAUCUUCAAACAUAUGAAUAACAAAAGCAGUUGUUGGUUCUCUAGCUGUUUAAAAUAUA
Molecule: long non-coding RNA, 419 nt
Filed under: Dromaius novaehollandiae (emu)
Lineage: Eukaryota; Metazoa; Chordata; Aves; Casuariiformes; Dromaiidae
Description: lncRNA (ENSDNVG00000014699.1)
Source: RNAcentral